UACGGGAGGCAGCAGUGGGGAAUAUUGCACAAUGGGCGAAAGCCUGAUGCAGCUAUGCCGCGUGUAUGAAGAAGGCCUUAGGGUUGUAAAGUACUUUUCAUCGGGGAGGAAAAACAAAACUAAUAAUUUUAUUUCUUGACGUUACCCGAAAAAGAAGCACCGGCUAACUCCGUGCCAGCAGCCGCGGUAAUACGGAGGGUGCUAGCGUUAAUCAGAAUUACUGGGCGUAAAGAGCACGUAGGUGGUUUUUUUAAGUCAGAUGUGAAAUCCCUGGGCUUAACCUGGAACUGCAUUUUGAAACUGAAAUACUAGAGUAUCGUAGAGGGAGGUAGAAUUCUAGGUGUAGCGGUGAAAUGCGUAGAUAUCUGGAGGAAUACCUGUGGCGAAAGCGGCCUCCUAAACGAAUACUGACACUGAGGUGCGAAAGCGUGGGGAGCAAACAGGGAUUAGAUACCCGU
This 458-nucleotide ribosomal RNA is filed under the name uncultured bacterium. Its description in RNAcentral is "bacterial SSU rRNA". It matches the Rfam family "Bacterial small subunit ribosomal RNA", at positions 340 to 789 of the family's 1533-position model. The record is from RNAcentral.